Musa acuminata subsp. malaccensis (wild Malaysian banana) is the source of this 1869-nucleotide non-coding RNA. The record is from RefSeq and is a predicted model, not a curated record. Lineage: Eukaryota; Viridiplantae; Streptophyta; Magnoliopsida; Zingiberales; Musaceae.
CGGAAGCAAUGAAGCCAGCGUUGGCUUCCUGCCGAUCCGGUGUUCCUCGUAUGUCCCCGGGAAGAUAUCCUCGGUGGGUCGUCAAGCGGCAUGUGACCGGCUCCUUGUGGGUCGAUUCGAGUUCCUCUCUCCCCAGUGCCGGCAUAAAAAGAGUUGCAGUUUAGUUGGUUCGCUGGCUUUGCUAAGUAGCUCACUUGUUGCCAUCAGAAUUUUCCUGUAUUUGAAAACCCUGUCAAUGUCAGCAAGGAGGUUAGCUGAUGAUUGCUUUUUAAUCGAAGGAUGUCCAAGGUGGAGUUUGGUUAGGGGGACUUGUUUGAUGCAGACAGCUUGAUUCCACAAUGAUGCCAGAUCACAGUGAGGAAUGAUUCCAUCGAGGAAUAGAUGCAACUCUGUCCAUGUGAACCAAAUAGAGCUGCAUUCGGUCCGUGGAUUGGAAAAUCACCGAUCCUCUUCGAAUUGGCUUCUCAAAUAAAGUAUUUGCAGUGGCUUUCACAGGAAAGGAAUAUCCUUUUCCUGCACGAAUGGGUUGGUGUGGGCCAAUCAAACUCCAGGAUUUUUGUCUUUUAACACACACUAGUCCGUAUGAGUACCUUGAGCAGGAUGAGGCGUUUGGUCAUGUGUUUCACAGAGGAACUCUGAAUGAAUGAUCCAAAAUCGGCUUGCUCAAAAUAAUGUUUCACCCGGGUGUAGGACAGGGUUCAUGAUGUUUAACAUGCCCCGCUUAAUCCGUAGUCAUGGAAAUUCAUUCCGGAAGCUCACCGAAAAUUUCAAGUGUCGGGACGACAUCAUCAAGUAUUGGAUCCUUGCAAACCUGUCAUGAGGAAUGAUUGUACUUGAGGACCUCACAGUGGUAACUUGGUGAAAGGUCAUGAUGAUGGAUGGAGUCGGUGUCCUUGUGAAAGAUAUUUGAUAAUGCUGUCACAUCCUGCUUGGAAUUCGAUGCUUAUCAGAUGUACGUGAAGAUGGAGAAUACAUCACCAGAGGUCCAGACUAUGUAGAAUCAAAAAGCAAGCACUGGUGAGUACAUUGUUACACAUACUAGUCGCAUCACCGAACCAAAAUAUGGUUGUUAUCAGGCACUGCACUAAUUCUUCUUUUUAUCUUCUUUCCAAGGAAGAAGAAACGAAUGGCAGCUGGACUUCGCUGGUGAAGAAGAGGACGAUUCACGUGGCGAAGGCUGACAUAGACACAUAUGCACUCACCGUAGACCUUGCCUCUCGGGGUACCACGGUGCAAGGGCACCAAAAAAAAAAAAAAAAAUCCAAGGUAAAAGCUUAUGUGCAGAAAUAAUAAAGUGGAUCGCCAGGCACCAUCACAGAACCUUUGCAGUGCAUUCCAACAUAACCAUGCAUGGAAUCAGGCAGAUGGAGCCUGCAGCCUCCUCUUGCAAAUCAUUCACUAAUACCUACCACAUACAGACAUCAACAUCCAGACAACCAUUUAUCUUUUCCCUACACUCACUCGUUUGUUUACUGCCCCCGGUGAUCCGGAGUCGAAUUAUUCAACAGUCCCAAGAGAUACUCCUUUGAUUCCUCCAUUUCUUUAUCUUUAGCAUUAUUGUGGCUCAUUCAUUUUACUAACUCAAAUUUCUUUUUUCCUUUUCCUGUGCUCCGAUUCUCAUCCGCCAUGCACCAACCUUCCUCAGGGCUGCGGAGGGUGACAUGGAUGGAUGGAUGGAUGGAUGCGUGCGCGACGGGUCUCUGCCCGCCCCCAGUGAUUCGAUACGCAUUCAUCUAGUGGAGUGGCGACGGGGCCCCAAUGCCCCCUCCUCCCAAGGCUGAGUGUCCCAAUGCGUCUCUCUCCUGACCAUCCACCUGAUCCUGAUUGGACUGCUGCGGUCGGGACGCCUCCACUAUCCUACCAGGUAAG